GUUGCGAUCCCUCCAGGGUGAUGAGCGAC
RNAcentral lists this non-coding RNA (29 nucleotides) under Micromonospora rosaria. RNAcentral also lists the same sequence under 1 other name. The record is from RNAcentral. Lineage: Bacteria; Bacillati; Actinomycetota; Actinomycetes; Micromonosporales; Micromonosporaceae.